GGGGUCUUGGCACAGUGGUAGCGCGCAUGCUUUGCAUUUCUUGUAUCUGAAUGUCUGCAUGAGGUCGUGAGUUCAAUCCUCACAGGCUCCA
Molecule: non-coding RNA, 91 nt
Organism: Arthromyces matolae
Lineage: Eukaryota; Fungi; Basidiomycota; Agaricomycetes; Agaricales; Lyophyllaceae
Source: the annotation of a GenBank genome assembly